Molecule: ribosomal RNA, 484 nt
Filed under: uncultured bacterium
Lineage: Bacteria
Description: partial 16S ribosomal RNA
Rfam family: Bacterial small subunit ribosomal RNA
Source: RNAcentral
AUUGAACGCUGGCGGCAGGCCUAACACAUGCAAGUCGAGCGGAUGAAGGGAGCUUGCUCCUGGAUUCAGCGGCGGACGGGUGAGUAAUGCCUAGGAAUCUGCCUGGUAGUGGGGGAUAACGUCCGGAAACGGGCGCUAAUACCGCAUACGUCCUGAGGGAGAAAGUGGGGGAUCUUCGGACCUCACGCUAUCAGAUGAGCCUAGGUCGGAUUAGCUAGUUGGUGGGGUAAAGGCCUACCAAGGCGACGAUCCGUAACUGGUCUGAGAGGAUGAUCAGUCACACUGGGACUGAGACACGGUCCAGACUCCUACGGGAGGCAGCAGUGGGGAAUAUUGGACAAUGGGCGAAAGCCUGAUCCAGCCAUGCCGCGUGGGUGAAGAAGGUCUUCGGAUUGUAAAGCACUUUAAGUUGGGAGGAAGGGCAGUAAGUUAAUACCUUGCUGUUUUGACGGUACCAACAGAAUAAGCACCGGCUAACUUCGUG